RNAcentral lists this ribosomal RNA (714 nucleotides) under uncultured marine bacterium. RNAcentral describes it as "bacterial SSU rRNA". It matches the Rfam family "Bacterial small subunit ribosomal RNA", at positions 36 to 796 of the family's 1533-position model. The record is from RNAcentral.
CUGGCGGCAGGCCUAACACAUGCAAGUCGAGCGCACUCUUCGGAGUGAGCGGCGGACGGGUUAGUAACGCGUGGGAACAUACCCUUUUCUACGGAAUAGCCUCGGGAAACUGAGAGUAAUACCGUAUACGCCCUUUUGGGGAAAGAUUUAUCGGUGAAGGAUUGGCCCGCGUUUGAUUAGAUAGUUGGUGGGGUAAUGGCCUACCAAGUCUACGAUCAAUAGCUGGUUUGAGAGGAUGAUCAGCAACACUGGGACUGAGACACGGCCCAGACUCCUACGGGAGGCAGCAGUGGGGAAUCUUAGACAAUGGGCGCAAGCCUGAUCUAGCCAUGCCGCGUGAGUGACGAAGGCCUUAGGGUCGUAAAGCUCUUUCGCCAGGGAUGAUAAUGACAGUACCUGGUAAAGAAACCCCGGCUAACUCCGUGCCAGCAGCCGCGGUAAUACGGAGGGGGUUAGCGUUGUUCGGAAUUACUGGGCGUAAAGCGUACGUAGGCGGAUUGGAAAGUAUGGGGUGAAAUCCCAGGGCUCAACCCUGGAACUGCCCUGUAAACUAUCAGUCUAGAGUUCGAGAGAGGUGAGUGGAAUUCCAAGUGUAGAGGUGAAAUUCGUAGAUAUUUGGAGGAACACCAGUGGCGAAGGCGGCUCACUGGCUCGAUACUGACGCUGAGGUACGAAAGUGUGGGGAGCAAACAGGAUUAGAUUCCCUGGUAGUCC